ACUCAAAGGAAUAGACGGGGGCCCGCACAAGCGGCGGAGCAUGUUGCUUAAUUCGAUGCAACGCGAAGAACCUUACCUAGGUUGAACUACGCUGGAAAAGCCGUAGAGAUACGGUGUUUACCGUCAGCGAUAGGUGGUGCAUGGCUGUCGUCAGCUCGUGUCGUGAGAUGUUGGGUUAAGUCCCGCAACGAGCGCAACCCUUAUUCUAUGUUGCCAGCGGGUAAUGCCGGGGACUCGUAGAAGACUGCCGGGGUCAACUCGGAGGAAGGUGGGGAUGACGUCAAGUCAUCAUGCCCCUUAUGCCUAGGGCUGCAAACAUGCUACAAUGGCUGGUACAAAGGGCUGCUAUCCCGCGAGGGUGAGCGAAUCCCAUAAAGCCAGUCUCAGUUCGGAUUGGAGUCUGCAACUCGACUCCAUGAAGUCGGAGUCGCUAGUAAUCCCGGAUCAGCAAUGCCGGGGUGAAUACGUUCCCGGGCCUUGUACACACCGCCCGU
RNAcentral lists this ribosomal RNA (494 nucleotides) under uncultured bacterium. Its description in RNAcentral is "partial 16S ribosomal RNA". It matches the Rfam family "Bacterial small subunit ribosomal RNA", at positions 899 to 1397 of the family's 1533-position model. The record is from RNAcentral.